GUCGCGAAAACUUUGCAAUAAGCGAAAGCUUGACAGGGCUAUCCCGAGUGCCAUCCGCUGAGGAAGGCUUUUACCCAGUCUAGAACGCUGGGGGAAUAAGGAGAGGGCAAGUCUGGUGUCAGCCGCCGCGGUAAUACCAGCUCUCCGAGUGGUGUGGAUGUUUAUUGGGCCUAAAGCAUCCGUAGCUGGCUAGGUUAGUCCCCUGUUAAAUCCACCGAAUUAAUCGUUGGAUUGCGGGGGAUACUGCUUGGCUAGGGGACGAGAGAGGCAGACGGUAUUUCCGGGGUAGGGGUGAAAUCCUAUAAUCCCGGGAAGACCACCAGUGGCGAAGGCUGUCUGCUAGAACGCGCCCGACGGUGAGGGAUGAAAGCUGGGGGAGCGAACCGGAUUAGA
This 393-nucleotide ribosomal RNA is filed under the name uncultured archaeon. RNAcentral's name for it is "bacterial SSU rRNA". It matches the Rfam family "Archaeal small subunit ribosomal RNA", at positions 338 to 733 of the family's 1478-position model. The record is from RNAcentral.